Non-coding RNA from Mycena leptocephala, 85 nucleotides. NCBI's taxonomy places the organism in Eukaryota, Fungi, Basidiomycota, Agaricomycetes, Agaricales, Mycenaceae. The record is from the annotation of a GenBank genome assembly.
GCGCCCUUAGUACAGCGGUAACAAUGCUACAAGUACGGACGUGGCUUGAAAGAUUCGGUCCGGGGCUCGACUCCCCGAGGGCGCA